GCAUGGUAGGAGAGCGUUCCGUAAGCCUGCGAAGGUGCGUUGAAAAGCGUGCUGGAGGUAUCGGAAGUGCGAAUGCUGACAUGAGUAGCGAUAAAGGGGGUGAAAGGCCCCCUCGCCGUAAGCCCAAGGUUUCCUACGCAACGUUCAUCGGCGUAGGGUGAGUCGGCCCCUAAGGCGAGGCAGAAAUGCGUAGCUGAUGGGAAGCAGGUCAAUAUUCCUGCACCGGCGUGAAAUGCGAUGGGGGGACGGAUCGCGGAAGGUUGUCCGGGUGUUGGAAGUCCCGGUCGCUGCAUUGGAGAGGGUAGCCUGGCAAAUCCGGCUACAGGACUCAAGGGUGUGGCGCGAGCUUCUUCGGAAGCGAAGCAACUGGAAGGGGUUCCAGGAAAAGCCUCUAAGCUUCAGUUUCACGUUGACCGUACCGCAAACCGACACAGGUGGGCGAGAUGAGUAUUCUAAGGCGCUUGAGAGAACUCGGGAGAAGGAACUCGGCAAAUUGGUACCGUAACUUCGGGAUAAGGUACGCCCUGGUAGCUUGAUGCGCCUGCGCGCAGAGGGUGAAGGGGUUGCAAUAAACUGGUGGCUGCGACUGUUUAAUAAAAACACAGCACUCUGCAAACACGAAAGUGGACGUAUAGGGUGUGACGCCUGCCCGGUGCCGGAAGAUUAAAUGAUGGGGUGCAAGCUCUUGAUUGAAGUCCCGGUAAACGGCGGCCGUAACUAUAACGGUCCUAAGGUAGCGAAAUUCCUUGUCGGGUAAGUUCCGACCUGCACGAAUGGCGUAACGAUGGCCACACUGUCUCCUCCCGAGACUCAGCGAAGUUGAAGUGUUUGUGAUGAUGCAAUCUCCCCGCGGCUAGACGGAAAGACCCCAUGAACCUUUACUGUAGCUUUGCAUUGGACUUUGAACCGGUUUGUGUAGGAUAGGUGGGAGGCUGUGAAGCGGGAACGCUAGUUUCCGUGGAGCCGUCCUUGAAAUACCACCCUGAUCUGUUUGAGGUUCUAACCUUGGCCCGUGAUCCGGGUCGGGGACAGUGCAUGGUAGGCAGUUUGACUGGGGCGGUCUCCUCCCAAAGGGUAACGGAGGAGUACGAAGGUACGCUAGGUACGGUCGGAAAUCGUGCUGAUAGUGCAAUGGCAUAAGCGUGCUUGACUGUGAGACUCACAAGUCGAACAGGUGCGAAAGCAGGUCAUAGUGAUCCGGUGGUUCUGUAUGGAAGGGCCAUCGCUCAACGGAUAAAAGGUACUCUGGGGAUAACAGGCUGAUACCGCCCAAGAGUUCAUAUCGACGGCGGUGUUUGGCACCUCGAUGUCGGCUCAUCUCAUCCUGGGGCUGUAGCCGGUCCCAAGGGUAUGGCUGUUCGCCAUUUAAAGAGGUACGUGAGCUGGGUUUAAAACGUCGUGAGACAGUUUGGUCCCUAUCUGCCGUGGGCGCUGGAAGUUUGAGGGGGCCUGCUCCUAGUACGAGAGGACCGGAGUGGACGAACCUCUGGUGUACCGGUUGUGACGCCAGUCGCAUCGCCGGGUAGCUAUGUUCGGAAGAGAUAACCGCUGAAAGCAUCUAAGCGGGAAACUCGCC
RNAcentral lists this ribosomal RNA (1576 nucleotides) under Paraburkholderia mimosarum STM 3621. RNAcentral's name for it is "bacterial LSU rRNA". It matches the Rfam family "Bacterial large subunit ribosomal RNA", at positions 1223 to 2798 of the family's 2925-position model. The record is from RNAcentral. Lineage: Bacteria; Pseudomonadati; Pseudomonadota; Betaproteobacteria; Burkholderiales; Burkholderiaceae.